GCGCCCGUAGCUCAAUUGGAUAGAGCAGCGGACUUCUAAGCCGCGGGUUGUAGGUUCGAGUCCUACCGGGCGCGCCA
This 77-nucleotide transfer RNA is filed under the name Candidatus Berkelbacteria bacterium. Its description in RNAcentral is "tRNA-Arg". It matches the Rfam family "tRNA". From Rfam's summary of the family: Transfer RNA (tRNA) molecules are approximately 80 nucleotides in length. Their secondary structure includes four short double-helical elements and three loops (D, anti-codon, and T loops). The record is from RNAcentral. Lineage: Bacteria; Candidatus Berkelbacteria.